UACGUAGGUGGCAAGCGUUGUCCGGAAUUAUUGGGCGUAAAGCGCGCGCAGGCGGCCUCUUAAGUCUGAUGUGAAAUCUUGCGGCUCAACCGCAAGCGGCCAUUGGAAACUGGGAGGCUUGAGUACAGAAGAGGAGAGUGGAAUUCCACGUGUAGCGGUGAAAUGCGUAGAUAUGUGGAGGAACACCAGUGGCGAAGGCGACUCUCUGGUCUGUAACUGACGCUGAGGCGCGAAAGCGUGGGGAGCAAACAGG
This 253-nucleotide ribosomal RNA is filed under the name uncultured bacterium. RNAcentral's name for it is "partial 16S ribosomal RNA". It matches the Rfam family "Bacterial small subunit ribosomal RNA", at positions 524 to 776 of the family's 1533-position model. The record is from RNAcentral.